Long non-coding RNA from Peromyscus eremicus (cactus mouse), 839 nucleotides. RefSeq lists it as uncharacterized. NCBI's taxonomy places the organism in Eukaryota, Metazoa, Chordata, Mammalia, Rodentia, Cricetidae. The transcript has 3 exons. The record is from RefSeq and is a predicted model, not a curated record.
CUGUGCCCAAGGCUCAGAGAACAUUUCAGAGAGGAGGUAGAAGGAUUGUAAGAGUCAAAGGAUGAGGAAAUCUGCUGUGUCUCCUAGAAAUGACGAGGAAGCAUCAGAUAGGGUGCCUCAACACUAUGGCUGCCUAAACAGGACCUAAAGAAAUACAACACCAUGGACAUGCUCACAUGGAAGGAGAAAAAUCUCACAGACCCCAUCCCCUAAAUGAAGAACUACAUCGACUAAGGAAUUCCGAGAACAGGCAAUAUAGUCUUCUCCAGGGAUAAACCUCCUAAUUGGUUAUCCAGCACUAAGAGAUAACUGGAGAGCCAAGAGACGUCCAUCAUCUUCUGAAAGGUCCGUCAUCCGGAGACCCACUUUUGAGGUCAGAAGUGCAAAUGACAGAAAGAGGAGUACGGAUUAGAAUAACUAAUAUCUGCCCAGAACUUUCCUGCUUCAAAGCUCUUCUUCACCUUGAUCAAUGGAUUCAACUCCCACAGCAGACCUGGGAAAGAGCAAAGCCAAGUUCACCACAACAUGGCAUCCCCUAGCAUGCUAGGGCUUGAGCAUGGUGUGAGCGUGUCCCCCGAGGUUCAUGUGUUUGGAGCUCGGUCUUCAGUGGAACUCAACGGAAGACAGUUCGUGGGAGCACUGGCCUCGGAUUCUUUGAUGCUGGUCUUGUAGAGUGAAUGAGCUGUUCUCGAGUGUGACCCCGAUCCUUGAACUCCUCUCCGGCUCCAUGUUUUGGCGUGUGGCCUCUUCCUCUCCCACCGUGAUGCCACUCAUCCUGAUGCAACAGCCAAGGGGACCCUCACCUGAGGCUGGGCCAACAGGAAUGCUGACUUUGAACU